UCCCCAGUGAUGUGUUAGUAUGACAUAUCAAAGGAAGGGAGGAGGUUGUUGCUUUGACUUGGAAUAGCCUACUAGACCAUGGACUAUCUCUUUAAGAAUGAACUGUAGAAUCUCGCCUAGAUUUGAAGUCAUUGGCUUAUAGUUUAAAGAAUCUGUCCUUUUCCCCAUCCCCAGUUCUGAGUUAUCUGUUCUAUUGUAGCAGGCAAAGGAGAUGGCCUCCCUGUACUGAAAUGACUCAGGUCAGCCCUUUCCAAGAUGAACUGACUGGAAGAGUACCCAAGCCACUACAAAGACCCUGAGUACCUCUUUUCCAUAAUGACGUGGGCUUUUGGCACAUUAACCACAACCACAACAACAAAGACCAGAAGAGCCUACAGAGAAGAGAAAAGAAGCUAUGCAGGUGAUAGACAGGGCUUCUUGGACAUGGAAGCAACAAGAGACAAGAGCCAGUGGCUGUAGAUGAAGGCUGAAAAACAGUCUCUGUCAUAGAAAAGAGAGAAGAUAAACAGGAGUGGAUACUGACCCAUGGAGUACUGUACCUGGAGCAGCUUUCUGGAAGCCCACACAGGCAGGCCCAGGAAACACAGUCAAAAGUUUUGUCGCGCAAGUGGUCGAAACUGUUGGCUAAAUUAGGUGUUUGUGUUAUUUUUUUAUCUUGAUUAUCCAAACCACUCUAUACCUAGACC
Molecule: long non-coding RNA, 686 nt
Organism: Phascolarctos cinereus (koala)
Lineage: Eukaryota; Metazoa; Chordata; Mammalia; Diprotodontia; Phascolarctidae
Source: RefSeq, a predicted model, not a curated record